Long non-coding RNA from Hyaena hyaena (striped hyena), 563 nucleotides. RefSeq lists it as uncharacterized. Lineage: Eukaryota; Metazoa; Chordata; Mammalia; Carnivora; Hyaenidae. The transcript has 3 exons. The record is from RefSeq and is a predicted model, not a curated record.
UAAUAUUUGGAAGGAAGGCAUGAUCUGACCCCCACCCAGUGCUGGCAGUUUUUCAACCCUGCACAACAGAAUCAAACUCCAGACCAAUUAGAUCAUAAUCCCUGGAGUUCGAGCCUGGGCAUCAGGAAUUUGUCAACACUUCCCAAGGUGAAGUUUAUGUACAGCCAGGAUUGAACACCACUGCCCCAGCGUCCCUGACCAGGGGACACCCAGGAGACAGCAGUUCCGUCUUUUUGAGCCCCACAGAAAGACUACAAUCUCUUCCUCGUGCUCAAUGACAGUUUUCAUGCCAACCAUUAAUUCCAUUCAGGACACGCCCUUUCCCCUCAUGAUGGGACAUCCGGAAGAGCCAAACCUCCUCCAGGGUGGUCUGACCAGCACGGAGCAGAGCUCGCCAUCACCUUUCUUUUUCUGGAAGCUUCACCGAGUCCAGUUUGCCUGAGGUUGUAUUUCUUUCUUUUUUUUCUUUCUUUCUUUUUUUUUUGGCACCCACAUCCUUCAGCUGACUCAUGCUGCGUCCCCAGGUGUCUGGGCUGCUAAAUCAUUUGUCACACGUGCUCCCG